Molecule: ribosomal RNA, 309 nt
Filed under: uncultured eukaryote
Lineage: Eukaryota
Description: partial 18S ribosomal RNA
Rfam family: Eukaryotic small subunit ribosomal RNA
Source: RNAcentral
CCCUUAGAUGUCCUGGGCGGCCCGCGCACUACAAUGGCGUGUGCAGCGAGUGCCGAAGUAGAGUUUUCCGAGGUAUUCUUGCAAUGCUCGUUUUGAUGGAGAUAGACCCUUGCAACUGUUGGUUUUGAACGAGGAAUUCCUUGUAAGCAUGGUUUAUCAUCCGACGCUGAAUGCGUCCCUGCCCUUUGUACACACCGCCCGUCGCUCCUACCGAUGAGUCGUCCGGUGAAGUUCGUAGACCUCGUGAUCGCGGAUCACUGGGGGAAGCAAAAUGAACCUCGCGGUUUAGAGGAAGGAGAAGUCGUAACA